GGGGGUGUAUGGUAUUGACAGCAUAGAUCUUUGAAAGUGUAAGCAUGUCCUGCGUUGCGUAAUUAGCAGGUAAAUCUGAAUACGCAAACUAUAAAUGGCAAUACACAAUUUGCCAUGGCUGCUUAAUCAGUGAUUGAGUAGUCAUUAUGGCCGGGUGGCAGGUAGGCUUGUAACCAGUUGCCCCGCCCAAUCAAAAAACAAUACAGGCUGCUGCAGCCGAAGGCUGUGACGGUUGCUUAAGUCCCGUCCCGAUAGCUAUCGGGAUUAUCGGGAAUGCAGCUAAGGAAAUAAUCGGUUGUUUGUUCCCAGUUAAUUCCCGAAACCUCAAAACAAAAUAAGCAUGUAGAAAGCUUUUGAAGAAUAUGUUUGGACACCGGUUCGAAUCCGGUCACCUCCACCA
Molecule: transfer-messenger RNA, 400 nt
Filed under: Chitinophagaceae
Lineage: Bacteria; Pseudomonadati; Bacteroidota; Chitinophagia; Chitinophagales
Also listed under: 2 other names
Description: UTBCD1 sp018266555 Standard tmRNA
Rfam family: transfer-messenger RNA
About the family: Bacterial tmRNA, also known as 10Sa RNA or SsrA, is named for its dual tRNA and mRNA-like properties. Its role is to liberate the mRNA from a stalled ribosome.
Source: RNAcentral